AUUCCACAUUAUCCAAGAUAAAUUGUUGUUCACUUCAUGUUGAUUUUUUUUACAAAUUUUGUAAUAAAAUACUUUUAAUUUUAUUUACAUGUUUUUUAUUAUAAAAAUUAGAAAAAUUUAAAAUUAAAUUUAAAGUGAAUGACAAUUCUCCUGGCUAACACAGAGCAUUGGUUAAAUGUUACUCGGUUAAUUAGGACUCUACUGUAUCUACUAGGUAAGAAAUACCUUUUUCUUUUAGCAUUGUUAAUAUUUUCUAUUGUUUAUCCAUACCAUGUGCUAUUGUACCAUUUAUCACUAAAAACUGAUGCCAUUCAAAAUCCUGAUUAUCUAAGUGUGGUAAUUUAUCUAGAAUAUGUUUCCUAAUACAGUAAAACCUGUCUUGAGAGACCCCUGCAGUCAGCGACCACCUGUAAUAUAAGGACACGUUUGUUUGGAACGGAAGAGUUUCCAAUGUUAAUGA
Molecule: long non-coding RNA, 460 nt
Filed under: Androctonus crassicauda
Lineage: Eukaryota; Metazoa; Arthropoda; Arachnida; Scorpiones; Buthidae
Source: RNAcentral